ACAGCUAAGGAUAGUUUCUCACGGGCACAUGUAUGCCAAUCUAAUUAAUCUACUUAUAUAUAUAUAUAUAUAUAUAUAUAUAUAUAUAUAUAUAUAUAGUUACUAAAAUGUGUCAUCUCCUUUUAUUUUUAUUUUUUUUGGCUAUGUGCCUCUUUUUGUUAUAGGGAGAGAGCGAAAAUACAUUUUAAGGCUUUUUUUAUCAUCUUGGUGUAAUGCUUUGAAAAUUUAAUAAAAGCUCCCUUUAUAUAUAAAAUAAAAAAGAGUAAAAUCCAUUAUCGGUCCCUAAACUUGUUCGAGUAUUGUCAUCCUAGUCCCUAAACUCACAAAAUGACCAUUUAGGUAUCUAAAGUUUUUAGACUGUGUCAUCGUGCUGGUCCUUGAACUUGAAAAUCUCUCAUAUAGGUCCUCAAACUUGUUCAUUGUGUCAUUCUGGUCCCUAAACUAUUUUAAGUCUCAUCUGGAUCAAAACAGGGCGAACCUAAAAACUCCAUAUGAAAAAAGUAAUUUAUAACUUUUUCAUAUGAACUCAAAUAAAGAUAAACUUUAUAUCAAAAUUGUAGCU
RNAcentral lists this long non-coding RNA (562 nucleotides) under Sorghum bicolor (sorghum). Its description in RNAcentral is "long non-coding RNA (SBIC_LNC003225)". Lineage: Eukaryota; Viridiplantae; Streptophyta; Magnoliopsida; Poales; Poaceae. The record is from RNAcentral.